UACGGGGGGGGCAAGCGUUGUUCGGAAUUACUGGGCGUAAAGGGCUCGUAGGUGGCCAACUAAGUCAGACGUGAAAUCCCUCGGCUUAACCGGGGAACUGCGUCUGAUACUGGAUGGCUUGAGAUUGGGAGAGGGAUGCGGAAUUCCAGGUGUAGCGGUGAAAUGCGUAGAUAUCUGGAGGAACACCGGUGGCGAAGGCGGGUCUCUGGGCCGAUACUGACGCUGAGGAGCGAAAGCGUGGGGAGCGAACAGG
RNAcentral lists this ribosomal RNA (253 nucleotides) under uncultured bacterium. RNAcentral describes it as "partial 16S ribosomal RNA". It matches the Rfam family "Bacterial small subunit ribosomal RNA", at positions 524 to 776 of the family's 1533-position model. The record is from RNAcentral.